RNAcentral lists this transfer RNA (77 nucleotides) under Clostridiales bacterium. Its description in RNAcentral is "tRNA-Thr". It matches the Rfam family "tRNA". From Rfam's summary of the family: Transfer RNA (tRNA) molecules are approximately 80 nucleotides in length. Their secondary structure includes four short double-helical elements and three loops (D, anti-codon, and T loops). Lineage: Bacteria; Bacillati; Bacillota; Clostridia; Eubacteriales. The record is from RNAcentral.
GCUUCUGUAGCUCCAAUCGGUAGAGCGGGGACCCUGUAAGUCUCAAGUUGUGAGUUCGAGUCUCACCAGAAGCCCCA